GCCAUGUUUCCUGAACACAAAAUGGCGACACGUGGUUAGCAUUCGUCGCCAACGAGAAAUUGGGGUCGGCCCGAAAGCUCUAGAAUGCACCCCUCUUCCUCCCCGGGGCCUUCCACCUCCGCGAGUUUUAUGACUUAAAAAAGCCCACAGGCUGGUCUGAAGAGGAAGACAAACAUAAAGAUGAAGUGCUUAAUUCAAGGUCACACAAUGUCGGGGAUGGACCUCCAGAUUUCCUUACUGGAAAACAAGCUCAGGGCUCCCACUGAUUGUACAUUAUGGUGAGACGUGGUCUUGUAACACAGUGGUUAAGAAUGUGACUUUGGAGCCAGCCUGCUAGGGGCUGAAUUCUGACUCAGCCAUUUACUAACUGUGUGACCUUAGUUCCCUGAGCACAUGCUGUUGAGUAAUCCUGCCUGGACCAGUACUUCCCUCACCCUAGACUUCACCUUCAGUUCCCCUUUAUACCACCUGCUGAAGCUGCCAGCCAGCCUUUUCGACCACCCUCCCUCCCCCAGGGGUGUUUGGCUUCUCAGACCCCAGCCUGAGCUAGUGCCCUUGGCUUCCUAGGGUCUUGCCAGGAAAGCAAAGGAGAACAUGCAUACCGCCAAAGAGUACCUAAUAAUAAGAACUCCCAUCCUGAAUUGUGAUUUAUAGUCAGCAUAGCACAUGUGUCAGGUGAUUAUACUUAGGCUGAUUUUAGCCUUAAUAAUCUGCUUCUGUGAUCCUGUAUGUGGGAAGCCUAGAAAUUUCUCUGUGAUCCUCCUUCCUGGAUCACUAAGAGACAAGUCAAGACAUAGGUCCAUUCUACCACCUGUGUUAAUCUGGGCCUUGUUGAGACCAUUUAAAGAAAGGCGUGAUGCUAGAAGUAAGGUCCAGGCCUCCUGCACACUGUUUCAAGGCUGUGACCAUAGUCAGAUCCUGUUGCUUGAGUCCAAAGAGUUUAAAAUAGUGUUGGAAACCUCCUAGGGAAAAAACAAAAAACAAAACACCACAUCUUCCUGGGUAAGGAAGUGACAUGUGCUGACUAGAGCAGGAGGGGUAGCCAAGGCUCCAAGUUCUAUUCUGGACCUGUUGUUGAUUUGAGGUGUGACAUUCAGCAAUCUGAGCUGAUGUUCUGUAGCUCUGAUUGGUUUCUCAUCUUCUGCAGAGAGAGUGAAAGAGGCUGUGCUUGCAGGGGAAAAGGUGAACACUGGUCUCCUGUCCUUUAGGAGAGCUUCACCAUUACACGUCCUGCCUCUCAUUUGAAUUUCCAGGCUUUUUUAGAGUCUCGCUCUAUUGCCCAGAUUGGAGUGCAGUGGUGUGAUCUCGGCUCACUGCAACCUCUGCCUCUGGGUUUAAGCGAUUCUCUCACCUCAGCCUCCCAAGUAGCUGGAAUUAUAGGUGCGUGCCACCAUGCCUGGCUAAUUUUUGUGUUUUUAGUAGAGACAGGGUUUCACCAUGUUGGCCAGGCUAGUCUCGAACUCCUGACCUCAAGUGAUCCACCCACCUCGGCCUCCCAACCAGGCUUUUUUAAAUGCAGAAACCGCCCGCCCCCAGAGUUAAUAUGGAAACCCAGCAAUGUUGUUUAUGUUUUACUUGAAUUCGUUUCAUCAGAAUUGCAUUCCUUUUAACAGUGUGAUUAGAUCAGCUCUUAGAGGGGAUGGCAGCUUCAGUAGGGUUUAGGAAAGGAAAGGAAUAUUUGUGUGGGGCACACACUUUGGCUUUGAUAGCUUGAGGAUACCAGGUACAUGAUAAUUUAGAUGGAUAACAGAAACUUGUGUCCCUUGAGAGCCAGGCAUGUAUUAGAUGCUUUCAUACAUUAUUUAAUUGUAAUACAAACCAAUAAAGUAUUCCCAUUUUUUGCACAUGGGCAAGCUGAAAGUCAAAGAAGUUAUGUAACUUGCCCAAGGUCACACAGCUAAUAAAAAGGCUGAGCUAGGAUUUA
Molecule: long non-coding RNA, 1924 nt
Organism: Homo sapiens (human)
Lineage: Eukaryota; Metazoa; Chordata; Mammalia; Primates; Hominidae
Gene: PCBP1-AS1
Product: PCBP1 antisense RNA 1
Source: Ensembl